AUUGAACGCUGGCGGAAUGCUUUACACAUGCAAGUCGAACGGCAGCACGGACUUCGGUCUGGUGGCGAGUGGCGAACGGGUGAGUAAUGUAUCGGAACGUGCCCAGUCGUGGGGGAUAACGUAGUGAAAAUUACGCUAAUACCGCAUACGAUCUAUGGAUGAAAGCGGGGGAUCGCAAGGCCUCGCGCGAUUGGAGCGGCCGAUAUCAGAUUAGGUAGUUGGUGGGGUAAAGGCCCACCAAGCCAGCGAUCUGUAGCUGGUCUGAGAGGACGACCAGCCACACUGGAACUGAGACCCGGUCCAGACUCCUACGGGAGGCAGCAGUGGGGAAUUUUGGACAAUGGGCGAAAGCCUGAUCCAGCCAUUCCGCGUGCAGGAUGAAGGCCCUCGGGUUGUAAACUGCUUUUGUACAGAACGAAAAGGUUUCUACUAAUACUAGGAGCUCAUGACGGUACUGUAAGAAUAAGCACCGGCUAACUACGUGCCAGCCGCCGCCGUAA
Molecule: ribosomal RNA, 500 nt
Filed under: uncultured bacterium
Lineage: Bacteria
Description: partial 16S ribosomal RNA
Rfam family: Bacterial small subunit ribosomal RNA
Source: RNAcentral